This 253-nucleotide ribosomal RNA is filed under the name uncultured bacterium. Its description in RNAcentral is "partial 16S ribosomal RNA". It matches the Rfam family "Bacterial small subunit ribosomal RNA", at positions 524 to 776 of the family's 1533-position model. The record is from RNAcentral.
GACGGAAGGUGCAAGCGUUGCUCGGAAUCACUGGGCGUAAAGGGUGCGUAGGCGGCCGUGCAAGUCUGGCGUGAAAGCCCCGGGCUCAGCCCGGGAAGUGCGCUCGAAACUGCGCGGCUCGAGUGCCGGAGGGGAGAGUGGAAUUCCUGGUGUAGCGGUGAAAUGCGUAGAUAUCAGGAGGAAUACCGGUGGCGAAAGCGGCAUCCUGGACCGGUAUUGACGCUGAGGCGCGAAAGCUAGGGGAGCAAACGGG